AUUGAACGCUGGCGGCAUGCCUUACACAUGCAAGUCGAACGGUAACAGGUUAAGCUGACGAGUGGCGAACGGGUGAGUAAUGUAUCGGAACGUGCCCAGUCGUGGGGGAUAACUGCACGACAGAGCAGCUAAGACCGCAUACGACCUGAGGGUGAAAGCGGGGGAUCGCAAGACCUCGCGCGAUUGGAGCGGCCGAUAUCAGAUUAGGUAGUUGGUGAGGUAAAGGCUCACCAAGCCGACGAUCUGUAGCUGGUCUGAGAGGACGACCAGCCACACUGGGACUGAGACACGGCCCAGACUCCUACGGGAGGCAGCAGUGGGGAAUUUUGGACAAUGGGCGCAAGCCUGAUCCAGCCAUGCCGCGUGCGGGAAGAAGGCCUUCGGGUUGUAAACCGCUUUUGUCAGGGAAGAAAAGGUUCUGGCUAAUACCUGGGACUCAUGACGGUACCUGAAGAAUAAGCACCGGCUAACUACGUG
This 477-nucleotide ribosomal RNA is filed under the name uncultured bacterium. Its description in RNAcentral is "partial 16S ribosomal RNA". It matches the Rfam family "Bacterial small subunit ribosomal RNA", at positions 30 to 507 of the family's 1533-position model. The record is from RNAcentral.